Molecule: long non-coding RNA, 784 nt
Filed under: Elaeis guineensis (African oil palm)
Lineage: Eukaryota; Viridiplantae; Streptophyta; Magnoliopsida; Arecales; Arecaceae
Description: long non-coding RNA (EGUI_LNC048095)
Source: RNAcentral
ACCAAAAUCAUAAAGAUUGAAAAAAUAAUCGAGGAUCGGAUUGCCAACGCCAAGUAAGAGGCCGAGAGAUGAAUUACUGAGGCCUGUUGAUCGACAGUGGAGGCUUUUAAGGCAUUGGAGGAUUUUGCAUAGGAGAAGGCUUAGGUGGUUGAGAACUUUAAGCUAUCAGAGGAAUUUCAUGAUACCAAGAUUGUGUUCAGUCAGGAGGCCUUUAAUAUGGGGCACGAGACUAGAUAUGAGGACUACUGCCAUCGAGUUGCUGCUUGCUCUCUAAAGUUGAUCUCUCCUUCUUAGAUGAGGAUGAGGGGGAAGAGGAAACUGAAGGGUAGUCCAUUCUCCCUGAGUCUAUGGUCAUCGAAGGACUAUCCGAGAGUGAAAGGAUGGUGGUGGAGGUCUUCUCGUUGCCCACCAUCGAUAUUUUAAUUUUGAGGAUGACUCCUUCAACUGAAGCACCCUCGGGUCCAUCAGAAGCUGCACCAAGCUCUCUCGAUUUUUAGGAUGAGGUCAGAAGAUGAGAUGCCUUAUCCCUAUAUUUUUUCUUUCUUUUUGUUCUUGUAAAAAAAAAUUCAUCAAUGAAAUGAAUUUUUACUCCUUUCUAAAUUCACAUUGUUCUUCAUAUGUUUGUUUAGUCAUGCUAGUGUGUCCUUGGUGGUUAUAUCCCUUCAGUUCUUGUUGAUGAGUCUUUGCUGACAGCUUCUGCUGCACAAAUUAGGUCUUGCAUAAGUGACUUGGAAAGGAAGGUCAAGAAGUUAAAUAAGAAAGCUGCUUUCCAGAAGGAGCUGUC